This 134-nucleotide ribosomal RNA is filed under the name uncultured eukaryote. RNAcentral describes it as "partial small subunit ribosomal RNA". It matches the Rfam family "Eukaryotic small subunit ribosomal RNA", at positions 1651 to 1780 of the family's 1831-position model. The record is from RNAcentral.
CCCUGCCCUUUGUACACACCGCCCGUCGCUCCUACCGAUUGAAUGGUCCGGUGAAGUGUUCGGAUCGCGGCGACGUGGGCGGUCUGCUGCCCGCGACGUCGCGAGAAGUCCACUGAACCUUAUCAUUUAGAGGA